RNAcentral lists this ribosomal RNA (258 nucleotides) under uncultured bacterium. Its description in RNAcentral is "partial 16S ribosomal RNA". It matches the Rfam family "Bacterial small subunit ribosomal RNA", at positions 73 to 334 of the family's 1533-position model. The record is from RNAcentral.
UCUUGCAAACUAAAGAUGGCGACCGGCGCACGGUGAGUAACACGUAUCCAACCUGCCGAUAACUCGGGGAUAGCCUUUCGAAAGAAAGAUUAAUAUCCGAUAGUAUAUUAAAACCGCAUGGUUUUACUAUUAAAGAAUUUCGGUUAUCGAUGGGGAUGCGUUCCAUUAGUUGUUGGCGGGGUAACGGCCCACCAAGACUACGAUGGAUAGGGGUUCUGAGAGGAAGGUCCCCCACAUUGGAACUGAGACACGGUCCAA